AUGGGGUGGAGGGGAGCUCCGCACCACCGGCUCGGCUCACCCCCGUCCCACCCACACUCUGGCCAAGUUGGCCCCCAGCCCCCUCUGCCCCAGCACAGCAGCCUGGGACCUGACACCCCAAAGCCGGUCGGGCUCAGAGUCCUACCGGCCCUGCUCGUUAACGUCAGCCAGGCCCAUGUGACCUUGCCUAUGCUGGACGCUGCCCCCACCUCCUCUCUGUACCCCCCAAGACAUUGUAGCCAUUCCUGCUCUACUUCCCACCACCUACAGGACACAGCCUCCCACCCCAGUGCCAGUCCACUCCGCAGCCCAGGGAGUCUGCCAGCUACACUCCCGCUGCAGACAGAGGUGAAAGAGCCCCCAGAGGAGGGCGUCCCAGACCUGCCUGGAACCCGGGAAACAGCCUGCGCUCCUGGUCCCCUGGCCCACCCACCCACCUACCUGCGCGCCAACCCCACCCUGGGACCUCCUCUUUGGGUGGUCAGCAACAUCUCGAGACCAACAUCUGCACAGCCCAACGUUUAUCUGAGCCUGGUCUCACCUGCCGCCCCCCGGCCAUGGUGGGAGACAGGCCCAGCAGCGAGACGCAAGGUUCCGAGAGCAGAGAACAUAGGACAGAGGGAAGGCUGUCGGUCAGAUGAGGCGGGCAGGGCAGGACACGUGCCCCACCCAGCCAGCUCUAGUAGGCUGCUCGAGCACACGGCGGGCCCUCACCUGGCCCUCCUACGCCCCAGCAGGACCCUGAGGCCCUUCCAGGACUCACUCCAGCCUAGACAUGUGGGGACUGACCUGUCCUGA
This is a long non-coding RNA of Vulpes vulpes (red fox), 798 nucleotides long. The record is from Ensembl. NCBI's taxonomy places the organism in Eukaryota, Metazoa, Chordata, Mammalia, Carnivora, Canidae.